UUCAUCUGUUACCCUUCAUCUCGGCACCUCUUCUCGGUUCUUACGUUACGCAGUCGCACGAUCUUAAGCCAUCAAUUUCAAAAGAUGAUUGUUAUUUCCCUAAUCAUCAACCUGUCUCUGCCAUCAUCUCCUCAUUUGUCAGAUUUUUUGCAUUGGGUAGAACCAGCAAGGAAUUUCAUUGAAGAAGGUCAAGGAUUGUCCGAAUUAGGGCUUGCUUCAAGUCUUCAUCUUGCUCCUGUGUCAGUUUCAACAGAUAUUCUACUUGGUUGGAUUUCCCUUG
Molecule: long non-coding RNA, 280 nt
Organism: Asparagus officinalis (garden asparagus)
Lineage: Eukaryota; Viridiplantae; Streptophyta; Magnoliopsida; Asparagales; Asparagaceae
Exons: 3
Source: RefSeq, a predicted model, not a curated record